RNAcentral lists this ribosomal RNA (497 nucleotides) under uncultured bacterium. Its description in RNAcentral is "partial 16S ribosomal RNA". It matches the Rfam family "Bacterial small subunit ribosomal RNA", at positions 28 to 507 of the family's 1533-position model. The record is from RNAcentral.
GAUGAACGCUGGCGGCGUGCCUAAUACAUGCAAGUCGAGCGAACAGACGAGGAGCUUGCUCCUCUGACGUUAGCGGCGGACGGGUGAGUAACACGUGGAUAACCUACCUAUAAGACUGGGAUAACUUCGGGAAACCGGAGCUAAUACCGGAUAAUAUAUUGAACAGCAUGGUUCAAUAGUGAAAGAUGGUUUUGCUGUCACUUAUAGAUGGAUCCGCGCCGCAUUAGCUAGUUGGUAAGGUAACGGCUUACCAAGGCAACGAUGCGUAGCCGACCUGAGAGGGUGAUCGGCCACGCUGGAACUGAGACACGGUCCCGACUCCUACGGGAGGCAGCAGUAGGGAAUCUUACGCAAUGGGCGCAAGCCUGACGGAGCAACGCCGCGUGAGUGAUGAGGGUCUUCGGAUCGUAAAACUCUGUUAUGAGGGAACAGCAAAUGUGUAAGUAUCUAUGCACGUCUUGACGGUACCUAAUCAGAAAGCCACGGCUAACUACGUG